GAUGAAGAACGCAGCGAAAUGCGAUACGUAAUGUGAAUUGCAGAAUUCAGUGAAUCAUCGAAUCUUUGAACGCAUAUUGCGCUCUCUGGUAUUCCGGAGAGCAUGCUUGUUUGAGUAUCAGUAAACACCUCAACUUCCAUAUCUUUUUUGAAAUGGGAGUUGGACUUGAGUGAUCCCAACGCUUUUCCUCACCGAAAAGUGGCGGGUUACUUGAAAUGCAGGUGCAGCUGGACUUUUCUCUGAGCUAUAAGCAUAUCUAUUUAGUCUGCCUAAAAAACAGAUUAUUACCUUUGCUGCAGCUAACAUAAAGGAGAUUAGUUCUUGUGCUGACUGAUGCAGGAUUCACAAAGACAGGCUUCGGCCGACUUUGUAAACUCGAUCUCAAAUCAAGUAAGACUACCCGCUGAAUUUAAGCAUAUCAAUAAGCGGAGGA
RNAcentral lists this unclassified non-coding RNA (433 nucleotides) under soil metagenome. RNAcentral describes it as "partial contains 5.8S ribosomal RNA, internal transcribed spacer 2, and large subunit ribosomal RNA". The stretch from base 1 to 120 matches the Rfam family "5.8S ribosomal RNA", at positions 35 to 154 of the family's 154-position model. The record is from RNAcentral.